CCAGAGUUGGCCAAAAGCACAGCGGAGGUGCAAAUCCAGAGACAAAUGCAAGUGCUCAGCCAGGUCUCCAGCUCAAGAAACAUCUCAGGAAGGAGUGAAAAGAGGUCACUGUGAGAGCAAAUCCAGCUGGUGGUUAUGAGAAUGUGGAAUGUGGGGGUGAUGGAGCUCCGCUUCUACUGACUCUUCAGAAGGUUCCCAGGAAUCCACGGAGUCCCAGAGUCUUUAGGAAAAGAAGGAUCUUGUGAGGUCAUGUUGUCCAGUUCUCAUCUGACAGAAAGAAUCCAUUCCACCAUCCUAGAAACCCAAAUACUCAUCAUGAUCAAAAGCACUCCUGAAACCCAGGCGUCUCCACCCUACGGCAUCUUUCUUUCUGUUGUGCUUGAAGUUCUCCCCACUGUCCUCCUGACUCAGUCCCUCCUCAUACGUUAAAGCCAUGGUCACCGGCCUGUCCUUGGUUUCCAUUACCUGGCACACUAUGGCAAAGCCACUGCUCGUGGCCACCAGACAGGUCGAGGCAGGCACUGGGGCCAAUCCCAUUCCUUGCUAUGCCUGAUGCCCUUCCGUGCCUGAUGCCCCUCUGUCAUCUCUUUGUUUGCACAGCUGUGACCUGCAUUGUCUCCACUAACGACAGCGUCCUUAACCCGGACAGUGACCCAGCAAGUGGCAGCCCACGCUCGCCGGCCGGGUCCAAGUUUUAAGUAAAGAAGCCAUUUGUUCCCAGGCUCAUUUUUAUCAAGGCUCGUCUGUCUUUCCAAAUUAGGGCUGAGUCAUUUAUAAAGCAUGUGAGUGUUUGGAUGUUAGCAGCAAACAUUCAUCCAUUUUAGAAUAAAUGAUUAAAAGGCACUCAUUAAAUUCCUCUGUUGACUGAUGCCAAGGCCCCGAGAACGGAUUGGCCUGUUGGCUUCUGGCUGGCCUGACUGCCAUCCCACCUACUGAGAACUCUCGUAGACUCUGGAGAGAAAAUUCCUGCUCGAGGGGACACCCUGAUGGAAGAUAACAGGAAGGAUGGCACUCAGGCCUGUUCCCCCAAUAUUACAGCACAGUUAUCUACCUUCAGAGUGGCCGCACCCAACAGACUCUUGGUGAGUGGGAGGACAACCCCUUCUCCCCUCCAAAGAUCUAGGGACAAUGUGUGCCAUUCCUUCCCAUGGGCAUGGGGAAUGUUUAACUCAAAAGUCAAGGGAAUAAUUCCAUAAUGACUGAAAACUAAGUAUUUCCAGUCCUGAUAAGAAUGGCGCUCUGUGCCCACUCCAGGAAUACAAGAAUUGGCAAGACUCUCCUGUGGCCCCUGCCCUGGAAGGUAGAAGGUAAAAGAUCAUACACAGACAGGUAAACCAACUCCCGAACAGAACUGGGAGCCUCGGACCACAGGCUCUGACCCUUUGCUGGCCAGCAGGUGCAGAGGGAAGGAGCUUCUGCUGUCCUUGCCCCCAGCAAAUGUCCAUCCUCACCACAAGGGAACAAACCAUGCCCAAUGCCUCGUUGGGGGCACUGGCGCCCCUUGAAUGUAUCCUCUCUAGGAUCCUUGGCCCCACCCACCUGUUUGCCAUCUCCAAAGGUCCUUUCUUAAUGUCUUUAAUUUGGAUGGCUCUGACAGCUCCCCACGGCUGGCCUGAGAAAAUCGCACACUCCUCUGCAUGCCAUUUAUCAGGUCACAGCGUGAGUUUCCCGGGCCCUCCUUCCACUAAAAAAACAUUAAAACAUAUAUAUUACAAUGGCAUUGGUAAACAGGAACCUAUUGAUUUAUAUACUGAAAACAUUUUUCCUCAACCUAAAAGUUCAUGUAUUUCGUUUUGAUUUUAAAAGCAAUUAAAACAUUUCGUGAGUCCUGAAAUCACUGUGGGCCCGAGGCACUGAGCCACCAUACCCGAUACUGAAGGGGGUCUAGGUCAGUCCUCUCUGCAGCCGUCCAGCCGCAGGUUCCCCCUGGGAGCUGCCCUUCCAGGCCUCCCUGCCUGUGCUGCUGCUGCUGCUGCUGCUGCUGCUCCUGCUCCUGCUCCUGCUCCUGCUCCUGCACCCUCAAUGCUGCCUCAUCCUUCUCUGCCACGAAACGUCCUACAAAGGUGUUAAGCCCUGGACCUAGUGUGAUGCUCCCAGGCCCUGGAGGCAGCAUCUGUGCAUCUUCUUUGCCCUCUGCCACCACUCUGACCCCCUGCAAGCCCAGACAGACAACGGUGUCUUCCUGACCAGGUGACAGGAUCCUGCAUUCAUCCCACAAACGCCUCCUGGGCACUGCCUGUGGGGAUGCAGGAAGGAUCUAAUAAAUGGCCUGGCCGAUGCUUUGUAUGUUCUGGAGACUCUGAAGUAUUUUGUGUGUGCUGUUUCGGUUCAUCCCACACUGUAAAACCCCGAGGAGGUCCUUCUGAUCGGACAUGAGUCACCACCAGGUACCUCAGUGGGUAAUGACAUCGCUGAGAUGCCCACACAGGCAUUCUAGGUCCAGGGUGGGUGCUCUGGCCCCUGCCCUG
Molecule: long non-coding RNA, 2468 nt
Filed under: Pan troglodytes (chimpanzee)
Lineage: Eukaryota; Metazoa; Chordata; Mammalia; Primates; Hominidae
Description: long non-coding RNA NONPTRT000062
Source: RNAcentral